UCAUUGUCCCUUUGAGCAGUUCUGUCC
RNAcentral lists this unclassified non-coding RNA (27 nucleotides) under Mus musculus (house mouse). RNAcentral's name for it is "oocyte_clustered_small_RNA5260". Lineage: Eukaryota; Metazoa; Chordata; Mammalia; Rodentia; Muridae. The record is from RNAcentral.